UACGGGGGGAGCAAGCGUUGUUCGGAUUUACUGGGCGUAAAGGCGCGUAGGCGGCCACCGCAAGUCAAUUGUGAAAUCUCCGGGCUUAACUCGGAAAGGUCAACUGAUACUGCGGGGCUAGAGUGCGGAAGGGGCAACUGGAAUUCUCGGUGUAGCGGUGAAAUGCGUAGAUAUCGAGAGGAACACCUGCGGCGAAGGCGGGUUGCUGGGCUGACACUGACGCUGAAGUGCGAAGCGUAGGGAGCGAACGGG
This 252-nucleotide ribosomal RNA is filed under the name uncultured bacterium. RNAcentral describes it as "partial 16S ribosomal RNA". It matches the Rfam family "Bacterial small subunit ribosomal RNA", at positions 524 to 776 of the family's 1533-position model. The record is from RNAcentral.